Molecule: ribosomal RNA, 805 nt
Filed under: uncultured organism
Description: bacterial SSU rRNA
Rfam family: Bacterial small subunit ribosomal RNA
Source: RNAcentral
ACGCUAGCGGCGCGCUUAUGCAUGCAAGUCGAGCGAUGAGGUCUCUUUCGGGGGACACAUCAGCGGCAGACGGGUGAGUAACACGUAGGUAACCUACCCCAGAGACAGGGAUAACCCUAGGAAACGAGGGCUAAUACCGGAUGACCUCCGGAAGGAGGAAAGCUCAGGCGCUCUGGGAUGGGCUUGCGGCCCAUCAGCUAGUUGGUAGGGUAAAGGCCUACCAAUGCGAAGACGGGUAGGGGGUGUGAGAGCACGGNCCCCCACAAUGGGACUGAAACACGGNCCAUACUCCUACGGGAGGCAGCAGCAGGGAAUAUUGCACCAAUAGGCGAAAGCCUGAUGCAGCGACGCCGCGUGAGUGAAGAAGGCCUUCGGGUCGUAAAGCUCUUUUGUAGGGGAAGAGGAAGGACGGUACCCUAAGAAGAAGCGUCGGCUAACUACGUGCCAGCAGCCGCGGUAAGACGUAGGACGCGAGCGUUAUCCGGAAUUACUGGGCGUAAAGGGCCAGCAGGCGGCUUGGUAAGUUGUGCGUGAAAGCCUCGUGCUCAACGCGAGGAAGCCGGACAAUACUGUCAAGCUAGAGGGCAUCAGAGGGGAGUGGAAUUCCCGGAGUAGCGGUAAAAUGCGCAGAUAUCGGGAGGAACACCGAUGGCGAAGGCAGCUCCCUGGGAUGCACCUGACGCUAAGAGGCGAAAGCUACGGGAGCGAACAGGAUUAGAGACCCUGGUAGUCCUAGCUGUAAACGCUGGGUGCUAGGUGUGGGACGUAGAAGUUCCGUGCCGGAGCAAACGCGAUAAGCACCCCG